RNAcentral lists this ribosomal RNA (465 nucleotides) under Vreelandella stevensii. RNAcentral describes it as "partial 16S ribosomal RNA". It matches the Rfam family "Bacterial small subunit ribosomal RNA", at positions 338 to 795 of the family's 1533-position model. Lineage: Bacteria; Pseudomonadati; Pseudomonadota; Gammaproteobacteria; Oceanospirillales; Halomonadaceae. The record is from RNAcentral.
UCUACGGUGGGCAGCAGUGGGGAAUAUUGGACAAUGGGCGAAAGCCUGAUCCAGCCAUGCCGCGUGUGUGAAGAAGGCCUUCGGGUUGUAAAGCACUUUCAGUGGGGAAGAAAGCCUUGGGGCUAAUACCCUCGAGGAAGGACAUCACCCACAGAAGAAGCACCGGCUAACUCCGUGCCAGCAGCCGCGGUAAUACGGAGGGUGCGAGCGUUAAUCGGAAUUACUGGGCGUAAAGCGCGCGUAGGCGGUCUGAUAAGCCGGUUGUGAAAGCCCCGGGCUCAACCUGGGAACGGCAUCCGGAACUGUCAGGCUAGAGUGCAGGAGAGGAAGGUAGAAUUCCCGGUGUAGCGGUGAAAUGCGUAGAGAUCGGGAGGAAUACCAGUGGCGAAGGCGGCCUUCUGGACCGACACUGACGCUGAGGUGCGAAAGCGUGGGUAGCAAACAGGAUUAGAUACCCUGGUAGUC